RNAcentral lists this transfer RNA (69 nucleotides) under Menura novaehollandiae (superb lyrebird). It matches the Rfam family "tRNA". Rfam says of the family: Transfer RNA (tRNA) molecules are approximately 80 nucleotides in length. Their secondary structure includes four short double-helical elements and three loops (D, anti-codon, and T loops). RNAcentral also lists the same sequence under 9 other names. Lineage: Eukaryota; Metazoa; Chordata; Aves; Passeriformes; Menuridae. The record is from Rfam by way of RNAcentral.
AAGGUCCUAGCUUAAUUAAAGUAUCUGGGUUGCAUUCAGGUGAUGAAGGUUAAUGUCCUUCGGGCCUUA